UAAAAGAGAAUAACAUGAACCCCUGAACAGA
This 31-nucleotide non-coding RNA is filed under the name Mus musculus (house mouse). The record is from RNAcentral. Lineage: Eukaryota; Metazoa; Chordata; Mammalia; Rodentia; Muridae.